Molecule: ribosomal RNA, 383 nt
Filed under: uncultured organism
Description: bacterial SSU rRNA
Rfam family: Bacterial small subunit ribosomal RNA
Source: RNAcentral
CGCAAUGGGCGAAAGCCUGACGGAGCAAUGCCGCGUGAAGGAUGAAGGCCUGUGGGUUGUAAACUUCUUUUUUCAGAGAAGAAAUUUUGACGGUAUUUGAGGAAUAAGCAUCGGCUAACUCUGUGCCAGCAGCCGCGGUAAGACAGAGGAUGCCAGCGUUAUCCGGAAUGAUUGGGCGUAAAGCGUCUGUAGGUGGCUUGACAAGUCUCCUGUCAAAGAUCAGGGCUUAACCCUGGGCCGGCAGGGGAAACUAUCAGGCUAGAGUUCGGUAGGGGCAGAGGGAAUUCCCGGUGGAGCGGUGAAAUGCGUAGAUAUCGGGAGGAACACCAACGGCGAAAGCACUUUGCUGGGCCGAAUUAUGGGGUACUUCGGUACCAACCAUA